CUGCGCAACGGCCCGCGCCCGCUGUUGCCUUGCCAGCCGCUGUCAACUUCACCGCGCCCGCUGAUGCCCCGCCAGUCGCUGUCAACUUCACCGCGCCCGCUGAUGCCCCGCCAGCCGCUGUCAACUUCACCGCGCCCAACUGCACGAUUUUGCACCCUGGCAGUGACCACAGCCACAACUGUUGACGUGUGCUGAAGGAGAUGUCCACCAGCAAUCCAAAUGGGCAGAAUUCGCACUGUGAUUCAGGGAGCAGUUCUUCAGCUAUUGGAUGGAAAACCCAUGCAAUGAUGCUGCCUGAUCUGUUGAACACUUACAGCAUUUCUCUUCAGAAUUCUCAUCAAUCAGAUUUUAUUUAAUUCUAUGUAAAUGGCUGGAUGAACUAAAAAAUUGUCCUUGGAACUUGCUGGUAAAAUGAGGUGAAAUACAUAUUGCAUGUUAAAUAUCAGGCAAUCUUCCAAUGUGAAAGAUGGAAGAGUAGUAAAGGUUGGAGGUAGUAAUCAACAAGGUUAUUUUCACAUUAGAGAGUCUCACUCAAAAUUAUUAAGUAAGGAGAAAAGAAUAUUGUUUAAUUGAGCACUACAUUUAUUUAUGUUUUGCUUUACUGCAGCUGGAAGAUUUAGGAUUACUAAUUACAUUGUUGUGAGCUGUGGGAAAGCUGUGCUUUGAACUGUUUUUAAAAGUUCUUACAAAGUAAAAAUAGUUUAGUAAUUAGACAUAGUGUGAUCUAUAUAAAACGUUAAAGCUACAUUUCAGGAAAACAUCACAGUUAAAUGGUAUAAUUGUAAUGCAAUGAAAUUUGCCUAAGGUGGUGGUGAUGGAUGGAUAAUAGUAAAUGAUCAGCUUGCUUUACACUUGGUUUUUCUUUGCUUUUGAUUUCAUUGGGUGCAGCAUCAUGAAUCAGCAGGUUACUCCAUAAUUCACAUUUUACUUUAGAACUUAAGACU
Mobula hypostoma (lesser devil ray) is the source of this 944-nucleotide long non-coding RNA. RefSeq lists it as uncharacterized. The record is from RefSeq and is a predicted model, not a curated record. The transcript is spliced from 3 exons. NCBI's taxonomy places the organism in Eukaryota, Metazoa, Chordata, Chondrichthyes, Myliobatiformes, Myliobatidae.